GAUGAACGCUGGCGGCGUGCCUAAUACAUACAAGUCGAGCGAACAGACGAGGAGCUUGCUCCUCUUACGUUAGCGGCGGACGGGUGAGUAACACGUGGAUAACCUACCUAUAAGACUGGGAUAACUUCGGGAAACCGGAGCUAAUACCGGAUAAUAUAUUGAACCGCAUGGUUCAAUAGUGAAAGACGGUUUUGCUGUCACUUAUAGAUGGAUCCGCGCCGCAUUAGCUAGUUGGUAAGGUAACGGCUUACCAAGGCAACGAUGCGUAGCCGACCUGAGAGGGUGAUCGGCCACACUGGAACUGAGACACGGUCCAGACUCCUACGGGAGGCAGCAGUAGGGAAUCUUCCGCAAUGGGCGAAAGCUUGACGGAGCAACGCCGCGUGAGUGAUGAAGGUCUUCGGAUCGUAAAACUCUGUUAUUAGGGAAGAACAAAUGUGUAAGUAACUAUGCACGUCUUGACGGUACCUAAUCAGAAAGCCACGGCUAACUACGUG
Molecule: ribosomal RNA, 497 nt
Filed under: uncultured bacterium
Lineage: Bacteria
Description: partial 16S ribosomal RNA
Rfam family: Bacterial small subunit ribosomal RNA
Source: RNAcentral